CUUCACCGAGCCGAGCCAGAGCGGCCGGUCCUCGGGGCGGCCCCGCCCGUAGGUGGCCAGCAGCGCCUGCGCCUC
Molecule: non-coding RNA, 75 nt
Organism: Streptomyces rubellomurinus
Lineage: Bacteria; Bacillati; Actinomycetota; Actinomycetes; Kitasatosporales; Streptomycetaceae
Rfam family: ASpks TB sRNA
Source: Rfam